AAUUCUUCCAUGUCAAAUGUGUACUAAUAGUCUCUCUCUUGGACCAAAUUACUAACCUAACAGACCAUGAAGGAUCUUUGGAAGCUACUGUGAACUGUCAUGCUUACCAAUACACAGAGAGGAUUUACCAGCACAGUAGACCUUAGCAACAGUUUUGCUCUCAAUGGGAGUUUACAUUUAAAUAUACCUGACUUUGCAUAGACCUAGUUCUGCAGCCCUGACUCAUCUUGGAUAAUAUUUACUCAUAAAUGCAUACUGUGAAGAGCAAUGCCUGAACUGAUGCUAUCCCAGACAGAAAAAUAUGACUUCAAACCUAAUGGGAUUCUCCUCAGACCAGUACGUGCUGGGAGCAUGAAGGAGGUUUGUACCAUAAUCCAACCAAAAACCAGCAAAUGCAAAGUCAUAACAAUGGACGUAUGCUCCUUGCCCACCCCUGGACUAUAUAUGGGCACAGCUUUGGCUUUCCACCCAGUUUGCUAUUCUGUGGAACAUAAGAACAGUCAUACUCGGUCAGACCAAUGGUCCAUCUAGUCCAGUAUCCUGUCUUCUGACAGUGGCCAAUGUGAGGUGCUUCAGAGGGAAUGCACAGAACAG
RNAcentral lists this long non-coding RNA (594 nucleotides) under Chrysemys picta bellii (western painted turtle). Its description in RNAcentral is "lncRNA (ENSCPBG00000007867.1)". The record is from RNAcentral. Lineage: Eukaryota; Metazoa; Chordata; Testudines; Emydidae.